UAUAUUUUGACUAAUGUAAUAGACGCACUUACAAAAAUAUAUAUAAUCAUAUUUGCUUGUUUGGUUAUCACAAUUUUUUUGUCACAAUCACUACCCGCAAGUGUUAAUUGUCAUCAUCCCUCCUACCACUACCACCAUUCACAAUCAUCUCACUGCCACUACCACCACUAAUCGGUCAUCACUACCACCACCUCGUCAUCGCCACCAACACCACCACCAUCACCACCACGUCCUCCUGGGCACCAUCACAAUUACCACCAUUUAGUUACUACCACCGUGUAGCCACCAUCACAAUUGAUGCUAUUCAGCCAUCACUAGCACUCGAACAUUGCCACUGUUGUCACCACCAAUACCACCAUUUGGUCACCUCCAUAGCUACUGCUGCCGCUGCCACUGUCAGUCACAACCAUUGCUACCACUCAAUUGUUAUUACCAUUUACCACCAUAAAUAAAUUAAAUAUUAAAAUA
Molecule: unclassified non-coding RNA, 468 nt
Filed under: Hevea brasiliensis (rubber tree)
Lineage: Eukaryota; Viridiplantae; Streptophyta; Magnoliopsida; Malpighiales; Euphorbiaceae
Source: RNAcentral